RNAcentral lists this ribosomal RNA (253 nucleotides) under uncultured bacterium. Its description in RNAcentral is "partial 16S ribosomal RNA". It matches the Rfam family "Bacterial small subunit ribosomal RNA", at positions 524 to 776 of the family's 1533-position model. The record is from RNAcentral.
UACGUAGGGGGCAUGCGUUGUCCGGAUUUAUUGGGCGUAAAGAGCGUGUAGGCGGCUUGGUAGGUCUGCUGUGAAAACUCGAGGCUCAACCUCGAGCUGUCGGCGGAAACCACUUGGCUAGAGUCCGGAAGAGGAGAGUGGAAUUCCUGGUGUAGCGGUGAAAUGCGCAGAUAUCAGGAAGAACACCUAUGGCGAAGGCAGCUCUCUGGGACGGUACUGACGCUGAGACGCGAAAGCGUGGGGAGCGAACAGG